CUACGGGCGGCAGCAGUGGGGAAUAUUGCACAAUGGAGGAAACUCUGAUGCAGCAACGCCGCGUAGAGGAUGACACAUUUCGGUGCGUAAACUCCUUUUAUAUGAGAAGAUAAUGACGGUAUCAUAUGAAUAAGCACCGGCUAACUCCGUGCCAGCAGCCGCGGUAAUACGGGGGGUGCAAGCGUUACUCGGAAUCACUGGGCGUAAAGAGCAUGUAGGCGGAUAGAAAAGUUGGAAGUGAAAUCCUGUGGCUUAACCAUAGAACAGCUUCCAAAACUCUCUAUCUAGAAUAUGGGAGAGGUAGAUGGAAUUUCUGGUGUAGGGGUAAAAUCCGUAGAGAUCAGAAGGAAUACCGAUUGCGAAGGCGGUCUACUGGAACAUUAUUGACGCUGAGAUGCGAAAGCGUGGGGAGCAAACAGGAUUAGAUACCCCGGUAGUC
Molecule: ribosomal RNA, 439 nt
Filed under: uncultured bacterium
Lineage: Bacteria
Description: partial 16S ribosomal RNA
Rfam family: Bacterial small subunit ribosomal RNA
Source: RNAcentral